AAUCUGCCUUUUGGUCGGGGACAACCACUGGAAACGGUGGCUAAUACCGGAUGUGCCUACGGGUAAAAGAUUUAUUGCCAGAAGAAGAGCUCGCGUCUGAUUAGCUAGUUGGUAGGGUAAAAGCCUACCAAGGCAUCGAUCAGUAGCUGGUCUGAGAGGAUGACCAGCCACACUGGGACUGAGACACGGCCCAGACUCCUACGGGAGGCAGCAGUGGGGAAUUUUCCGCAAUGGGCGAAAGCCUGACGGAGCAAGACCGCGUGAGGGAGGAAGGCUCUUGGGUUGUAAACCCCUUUUGUCAGGGAAGAAGAAAGUGACGGUACCUGACGAAUCAGCAUCGGCUAACUCCGUGCCAGCAGCCGCGGUAAUACGGAGGAUGCAAGCGUUAUCCGGAAUUAUUGGGCGUAAAGCGUCCGCAGGUGGCACUUCAAGUCUGUCGUCAAAGACCGGGGCUUAACCCUGGAAAGGCGAUGGAAACUGAAAGGCUAGAGAGAGGUAGGGGUAGAGGGAAUUCCCAGUGUAGCGGUGAAAUGCGUAGAGAUUGGGAAGAACAUCGGUGGCGAAAGCGCUCUACUGGACCUCAUCUGACACUCAGGGACGAAAGCUAGGGGAGCGAAUGGGAUUAGAUACCCCAGUAGUCCUAGCCGUA
RNAcentral lists this ribosomal RNA (649 nucleotides) under uncultured cyanobacterium. RNAcentral's name for it is "bacterial SSU rRNA". It matches the Rfam family "Bacterial small subunit ribosomal RNA", at positions 123 to 804 of the family's 1533-position model. The record is from RNAcentral. Lineage: Bacteria; Bacillati; Cyanobacteriota.